Molecule: long non-coding RNA, 735 nt
Filed under: Jatropha curcas
Lineage: Eukaryota; Viridiplantae; Streptophyta; Magnoliopsida; Malpighiales; Euphorbiaceae
Description: long non-coding RNA (JCUR_LNC003359)
Source: RNAcentral
UAUAAAUAAAACAUUAUAUUGAUAUUAAUGAGCUUCAACCAAUGGGUAUUGGUUAAUACACAGAAACACAUAGGAAAAUAUAUGUACAUACUUAAAAGAAGUAUGUACAUAUAAGUACUAUUUUACUUGAGAAUGAGUUUGUUAGCUAUCAAAUUUAAAAUUGUAUUGAAAUAUUUAAUAUACAAUUUUAAAUCAAUGGCUACCAAACUCGUUCAACAAAGUAUUUAAAUACAUAAAUUUUAUCAUGACAAACUCGUUCCUCAUAUAUAGUCGAGUUUAUGGCAACUUUACCUUAAAUGUAUAUAUGCUAUAUCCAGCGAUGCAUGUAAAGUUGCAGAAAUGAAGAUUCUAAUGCUUUGGACAAUGCUUAGGAUUUGGUGUGGGAAUUUGAGUGCAAGGGUUGGGCCCUGAAGAUUCUACAGGUGCUUUCUGCGGAAUAUCCACCACCUUCUUAUUAGCUGCAAAUAUUUGCUUAUCAGUGCGAUGCAGAGUUCUUGCAGUUACGAUAGGAUUAAUAUUGAGAAUAAUAAUGAGGAGCAAGAUCAAGGUUGCCAUUUUCUUGGUAUUCAGGCAGAGCAGUUUGCUAGUUGAUGAAUCCAUUGCUGUCUAUCAAUAAUAAAGAUCAGAGAAAAAGGAGAUGAUCUUUUUUUCUAAGGAGAGGAAGACAAUUGUAAGGGUUUGUGUCUGUAAGGAGAGUAUGCGGUUUGGUAUAUAGUGUAAAAAGGAAGUGGGUGC